This 342-nucleotide long non-coding RNA is filed under the name Glycine max (soybean). RNAcentral describes it as "long non-coding RNA (GMAX_LNC001124)". Lineage: Eukaryota; Viridiplantae; Streptophyta; Magnoliopsida; Fabales; Fabaceae. The record is from RNAcentral.
UCUGCGUUAAGUCCCUGACGGUUAAAAUUUAUAAAAUAAAAAAUAUAUGAAUCGGGCAACAAAAAAAAGAACAGAUUUUCCUUUCACUCGAUAUAUGUAAAUUUUGAAUUGCAUGUAUACUGUAAAGUAAUGAGUGAAAAAUAUUAAUCACUUAUUUGUAUGUGUCAUAAUUAGGAAAGAAAACAAGCUAUGUUUAAAAUCUAUCAUUUUUGUUAUAAAUGGUGUCCUAAAGGAUUUAUAUGUAUUAUCUCAUGUGUUCUCAAACAUGUUGAGGCCACAUAACUGACAACGUCGAAAAUUCAAAAUCUAACAACAAUGAAGGAAAACAAAAAGAAGAGAUGA